GAGCAGUCGAAGAUGGCGGGCCUUGAUUAACUGAAGUCCCAGCAGUUCCUUGUGCUUGACCAAAUAUGGUUCCACACUUAUUAAUUAAGUUCUGAAAGCAGCAACUGAAACACUUGCAUAAAGUAUGAUUCUGAUCAUUCGAGGCAGCAUUCCCUCCAACAUCAACAUCCCGAACAGUGAAACAGGAACAAACUGAACCCAUGAUGUUACCUCUAUUUGUUAUAUAAAUCUUCAACCUUUCAUUAGCAAUCCCCUUCUCAAUCCAGCAUCCAGAUUUCCCUUUACAGCAGAAAAUAAGGGUUUUGGAGCAAAAAAUUAUUGAGAA
Molecule: unclassified non-coding RNA, 325 nt
Filed under: Hevea brasiliensis (rubber tree)
Lineage: Eukaryota; Viridiplantae; Streptophyta; Magnoliopsida; Malpighiales; Euphorbiaceae
Source: RNAcentral